Aphis gossypii (cotton aphid) is the source of this 872-nucleotide long non-coding RNA. RefSeq lists it as uncharacterized. Lineage: Eukaryota; Metazoa; Arthropoda; Insecta; Hemiptera; Aphididae. The record is from RefSeq and is a predicted model, not a curated record. The transcript is spliced from 3 exons.
AUUUUUAUAAUCAUAACAGUUCAAUCAGACUUUAAGUUCAUAAAAUUUAAGUAUAAUCAGACUUAUAAGUAAAGCAAAAUUACAAUAAAACUUUCAUUAUUUUAUAUUUAUAUACAAAAAAAAAAAAAACCUAUUUUUCACAUAGGUAGGAACUUAGAAAAUAAAUUAACAGACCUUCAUAUCUUACAUAAAUACACGGAUCCGGACAUUUCGGCGUGGCCAUCUCGGCGUGGCCAUAUCGGCGUGGCCAUCUCGGCGUGGCCAUCUCGGCGUAGUGCCAUUUUGGCGUGUGACCAUUUCGGCGUAGUCUCUUUAAAUUACUUCAUGAAAUUAUUUUUAAGAAAUGCGUUUAGAUAAUAAUUUUAGCAUUAAUUAUAUUGUAUCUAUAUCAUUUAUCAGUUUAUCUCACUGUAAUCGGCUACCGUAUCGAUAGACGAUUAUUGAGUAAUAAUAUAAGAAAUAAGAUAGUCAACUAAUCAGUAGUAGUUAUAGUAGUCAAUAGUCAUCAUGGCACAAGUAAUGGAAAGAAUUCAUACAACAGUUGACACUUUGGAGGUUUUAAAACAAAUAAAUGAACAUUCGACACAUGAUUCGGAAGCGGUUAAUAUUUAAGCUAAUUCUGCAGUCACGAAGAUGAAAAAACGAGCACGUGAGACAAUGGAGCCUACAUCAAAUAUUAUUAAUGAAUGUGUUAGUGGAUUAUCACAAGCAGGAAAGGGAGCUUUGACGGCUGACAGAGCUUUAAAAAAACAAAUAAGACGCAUACGGCGAGAAAUUCAAGCAGCACCUGAUGCUCCAAAAGAUUUGACUACACUUAUAAUACCAGAAAAUUACCAGUUCAUACAAAAAUUCAAAAAUUCUACCAGGAUGGU